UCUGGAACGAUAGAUGCGAG
Molecule: unclassified non-coding RNA, 20 nt
Filed under: Mus musculus (house mouse)
Lineage: Eukaryota; Metazoa; Chordata; Mammalia; Rodentia; Muridae
Description: oocyte_clustered_small_RNA598
Source: RNAcentral